UACGUAGGGUGCGAGCGUUAAUCGGAAUUACUGGGCGUAAAGCGGGCGCAGACGGUUUGUUAAGCAGGAUGUGAAAUCCCCGGGCUCAACCCGGGAACUGCGUUCUGAACUGGCAGGCUAGAGUGUGUCAGAGGGGGGUAGAAUUCCACGUGUAGCAGUGAAAUGCGUAGAGAUGUGGAGGAAUACCGAUGGCGAAGGCAGCCCCCUGGGAUAGCACUGACGUUCAUGCCCGAAAGCGUGGGUAGCAAACAGG
Molecule: ribosomal RNA, 253 nt
Filed under: uncultured bacterium
Lineage: Bacteria
Description: partial 16S ribosomal RNA
Rfam family: Bacterial small subunit ribosomal RNA
Source: RNAcentral